RNAcentral lists this long non-coding RNA (1895 nucleotides) under Homo sapiens (human). Its description in RNAcentral is "HSALNT0120064". The record is from RNAcentral. Lineage: Eukaryota; Metazoa; Chordata; Mammalia; Primates; Hominidae.
CAAGCAGUAUUAGGUGUUCCUGCCAACAUCUUCAGCUAAGAAUUCAACUCCUCACUAAUAUUGAUUGUGAUACCUGAGAAUGAGUAAACCUCUAGGACAGAGUCAGCAAACAUUUUCUUUAAGAGCCAAGUAGCAGAUAUUUAGACUAUUCUUAGUUCAUGGGCUGUAUAAAAAUAGACAGAAUUUGGCCUGUGAGGCUGUAGUUUACCCUGCUUUAAAUGGUUCCUAUACCCAACCUUUAAGGCAUCCCAGCUAAAGGUGAGUGGAGCAGAAAUGAGCUGACCCCACUGAGCUUUGUCCAAAUGUUUCCUCUUCCAUAAAAUGAAGAUAACAGUAGUACCUCUUGGAUGGAUGUGUUAAGAAAAAGAUAAUGCCUGUGAAGUACCUAGCGCAGGACCUAGCACAGUACAUAGCACGGUACCUGGAGAACUGUGAUGAGCUUGUUUCCCACUUCACUGGAAAACAAAAUGGGAAUAUUCAGAAGAUAAGUUCCACAGCUCCCAUAGCAUCUUCCUAUCUACCAGGAUUUGGACCUUCUACACCCUGCUCCCAUUAAGGAAUUAGCCUUGCUCUUGUCCAAAACUAGCCUUUGCGUAUGCCUUAGAUCCUAUCCCCCUUGCUUGCUCACAGGCUUUGCUCCAGCAAUUCUCCCUAUUUUUCCCCUAUACCAUCAGCUUCCUCUCUCUACUAGGUCAUUUCCACCAGCACACAACAAUACUGUCUCUCUCAUCUUAGAAAUGGAAACUAACAAAAUUGAGUUCACUUUUCCUUCUGACACUAUCCCUUUUCUACCUCCCCCACUUUACAGCAAAACUCUUUGAAAGCUGCCUGAAUUUCACUGCUUCCAUUUCCUCUCCUCUUCUCACUUAAACCUACUGCUGCCAGAACCGGGACUCCACCACCUCACCAGACCCCUGCUUGUCAAUAUCAUCAAUGACUUCCAUCUUGCUAAAUCCAUUUCUUGUCCCCAUUGAACUUGACCCUCAGUAACACCUUGUCAAAUUAACCACUCCCUUCUCAUGGAAAUGAUUUCUUGUUUUCUAAGACACUACACAUUUCGUUUUCCUUCAACACCCCUGGAUGCUGCUUCCCAGUCUUGUCCCUUAACCUCCUAGCACUGAAGUGAUGCAGGGCUCAGUCCACAGAUCUCUUCAUCUUUCCUGUUCACUCCAUACUCACCCUCUUGGUAAUUCCCUUCCAGUUUCAUCGUUUAAAUGGCAUCUGUCUGCAAAUGAUUAUCAAAUGUAUGCCUCCAGCCAUGGCCACUGCUCUCAACGUUAGCUUAUCCAUCUAACUGUCAACUCUGUAUCUCUACCUGGACGCCUGAUGGAGGUCUCCAAUGUACCAUGCCCUAAACUGAAAUUUUGAUCUUCUUUAUCCACAGAAUCUGCUCGACCCUAUCUCAGUUAAAGGCAUAUGUUACUAAAGCCAAAGUCAGCAAAGAAGGAGCCUCCAUGCUUGGAAACAACCCAGCUAACUGCCAUCUGUGUGGUAGCUUGAGUGUGGAUUGAAGAACGGAGAGUCAGGAUUCUAGGGGAGAGUGGAACCAAUGGCUGGGCUGGAACCUGCAUGCCAGCACCUCCCCCACAUGCUGUUGGUCAAGCCAGAUUCAAGAGAUGGGGAAACAGACUCCGCCUCUGGAUGCCGCAAAGUCCCACGGCAAAGGGCAGGAAUAUAGAGAUCCUCUGGGACUUUUCAAAAUGCCCCAAUUCAAGGAAAGCUCUGAGGAUGUAGUAAUUAUAAUCCCAGGUCAGCUGGGAAGGAAGAAAAAGAAGGAAAGAAGAAAAACAGGAGGAACACACAAUCUCCAAAUACAUAUUUCUAUUGUAAUAGUAUAGUGUGAGUAAAUAUUGUGUGCUUUAUUCAAUUUUCCUAAAUGCAUAAAAUAAAAAUAU